CUUCAACCCACCCUCCCCCAACAUGCAUGCCUCAGUACUCUCGUUGUUUACUUUGCCUCAGGAAUUCAGCAACUAGACAACCCAAUUUUACAAGAUUAUCUUAUUUCUCAAGAAGUUCACCAAGUGUUCCAAAACUUCCUGCCAGAGCAACGAAGAAAAAAAGAGAAAGGUGGAAGAGGCAGAGAAAGGAGUAAGAGAAGCGACAGAAGGAAGAGAGUAAGCGAGAGAAGGGCAUGAUCUCGUUGGACAUCAUAUUGCUGGUCUGUUCAAGGAAGAUGCGGGACCAAACUUCUUGGGGCUGUUGGUCCUGCAAAAUAUUCUUUUAUGAUUACAACUCAACUACAGAGCUGGGCACUUGCUAUGCACUGCCCGUGCAUUCUCACUUGACCCCGUCCUUCAUACUAUGAGGUGAGUGCUCUGAUCUUCAUUUUAUAUAUGAGGAAACUAAGGCUUGGAGACAUUGAUCUUCCUAAGACCAAAGGCAAGCAAAUAGCAGAGGAGGAGUUCAAAUCCAAGAAAGUCCAUGCUGGCCCCUGAAUGAAGUGAAUGACAGAAGGAAAUUUAGGAAUGAAUGUGAAGGGUCAGGAUACAGAUGCAGACAUGCAAGACAAAUUCCAUUUCUUCCAAAUCAAGUUGAAUUGCUAGUCUUUGUCCCCCUGUGCUGGUACGAAACUAGAACUCAGCCUUCUCAAGGUUUCCUGUCCUUUCUGGGGUUGUGCUGUGGUUGUGAGGUUUCCUG
RNAcentral lists this long non-coding RNA (739 nucleotides) under Zalophus californianus (California sea lion). RNAcentral's name for it is "lncRNA (ENSZCAG00015022030.1)". The record is from RNAcentral. Lineage: Eukaryota; Metazoa; Chordata; Mammalia; Carnivora; Otariidae.